Molecule: ribosomal RNA, 224 nt
Filed under: Salmonella enterica subsp. enterica serovar Enteritidis
Lineage: Bacteria; Pseudomonadati; Pseudomonadota; Gammaproteobacteria; Enterobacterales; Enterobacteriaceae
Description: partial 23S ribosomal RNA
Rfam family: Bacterial large subunit ribosomal RNA
Source: RNAcentral
UGACUGACCGAUAGUGAACCAGUACCGUGAGGGAAAGGCGAAAAGAACCCCGGCGAGGGGAGUGAAAAAGAACCUGAAACCGUGUACGUACAAGCAGUGGGAGCACAGGUUUACCUGUGUGACUGCGUACCUUUUGUAUAAUGGGUCAGCGACUUAUAUUCUGUAGCAAGGUUAACCGAAUAGGGGAGCCGGAGGGAAACCGAGUCUUAAUUGGGCGUUAAGUU